This is a long non-coding RNA of Helianthus annuus (common sunflower), 472 nucleotides long. RefSeq lists it as uncharacterized. Lineage: Eukaryota; Viridiplantae; Streptophyta; Magnoliopsida; Asterales; Asteraceae. The transcript is spliced from 2 exons. The record is from RefSeq and is a predicted model, not a curated record.
GAAAAAUAACCGCUGAAAAAAACGCGAACGAGAGAAGAAUGUAGGAGCAGAAGGUGAUUGUUGCAGUUCAACAGAUGUCAUUUGCAAUUGUCUCGUACAUGUAAACGGUGAUGACACCAUAAGUUGUUUAUCUGAAGUCAUUCUGAGAUUGCGAGGCCGCUUAAACAUCCAAAGAUUAUCGCAUCCACUACAGGGGUAUAAGUUUCCUCAAAAUCAACUGCUGGGAUUUGGGAAAAAUCAUUAUGUUAAAAUGCGUGCCUUACAUCGCAAAAACUCAUUAUUUACGUUUCCUUUUAUUUAAAGACACCCAUUUAUAACCUACUGGUUUGACGUCUAUGGGUGUUCGAACUGCUGGUUCGAAAAUGUUUAGUUUGUCGAGCAAAUUUAGUUCAAUCUUAAGUCAUGUAGCCAUUUUGGCUAUUUGUGUGCGUACACUCUUUCACACUUUCUAUAUACGUAAUCUUUUUUUUCA